CGCAGCUGAGGGGAGCGGUGCCGGGGGCGGCGCGUCCCCGCCGGGCGUUGAGCGGACCCCGCUGCCCCGGGCGGGGCAGCCCGGCCCUCACGGCAAGUUUAAAGAGGCGGCGGCCCCUCCUCCGCCCGCGGCCGCCCUGCCGAGCCUGGGUGCGCCUCUGGGAGCCGCCCUGGGCUGCCCGGCCCCGCCGCUGCAGGGAAGCGGAGACAGAAUCCAGACCAGAACCACUGAGGAACUUGGAAGCAGUGCUUUGAGCCUCUGGAGAAACAGCUUCCCUCUAAGGAUGAAGAGUGAGAAAGGCAAACUUUAAUUUCUGGCACAGUUGUUUUGGAGAACUGGCAAAGCUACUGCAAAGGUGCUCUGUUUGUUCAGCAUUGGAAUAAAUCAGAGGGCCUCAGGAGUCUCCCCUGAAACAAGUGCUGAAGCAGCUCCUAUUUGCAAUGAGGAAAAAGUGGAAUUUUAGCUGCUUCUGAGGGACAGAAUAAGGCUA
Vidua chalybeata is the source of this 490-nucleotide long non-coding RNA. RefSeq lists it as uncharacterized. The record is from RefSeq and is a predicted model, not a curated record. Lineage: Eukaryota; Metazoa; Chordata; Aves; Passeriformes; Viduidae. The transcript is spliced from 3 exons.